CAAUGUUGUAAGAUACACUUGUUCUGCAACAUUUUUGCAUGUGGAGGCUGCUGUGGUGUGUGUAUUUCAUGCAUGCAACCCAUCCAACCAUCCCAUGGGCCACCAUGCUUUAGUGGAGGUGUUUGCGUGGUUGUGCAUUAUUUACUAUGGUGUGGCCCACGUGCAUGGGGCCCACUGUGGUGUGUGUAUGGCAUGAAAUCCAAUCUGUCCAGUCCAUCAUGUGGGCCACCACUCUGUAGUGGUGGUUUUUUUAGAGGCAGUCU
Long non-coding RNA from Magnolia sinica, 263 nucleotides. RefSeq lists it as uncharacterized. The record is from RefSeq and is a predicted model, not a curated record. The transcript is spliced from 2 exons. NCBI's taxonomy places the organism in Eukaryota, Viridiplantae, Streptophyta, Magnoliopsida, Magnoliales, Magnoliaceae.